UUUACUAUGGAGAGUUUGAUCCUGGCUCAGGAUGAACGCUGGCGGUAUGCUUAACACAUGCAAGUCGAACGGUCUCUUCGGAGAU
RNAcentral lists this ribosomal RNA (85 nucleotides) under Leptolyngbya sp. FACHB-238. RNAcentral's name for it is "partial 16S ribosomal RNA". It matches the Rfam family "Bacterial small subunit ribosomal RNA", at positions 1 to 90 of the family's 1533-position model. The record is from RNAcentral. Lineage: Bacteria; Bacillati; Cyanobacteriota; Cyanophyceae; Leptolyngbyales; Leptolyngbyaceae. RNAcentral also lists the same sequence under 2 other names.